This 468-nucleotide ribosomal RNA is filed under the name uncultured bacterium. RNAcentral describes it as "partial 16S ribosomal RNA". It matches the Rfam family "Bacterial small subunit ribosomal RNA", at positions 28 to 507 of the family's 1533-position model. The record is from RNAcentral.
GACGAACGCUGGCGGCGUGCUUAACACAUGCAAGUCGAACGGAAAGGCCCUGCUUUUGUGGGGUGCUCGAGUGGCGAACGGGUGAGUAACACGUGAGUAACCUGCCCUUUACUUUGGGAUAACUUCAGGAAACUGGGGCUAAUACCGGAUAGGAGCUCCUGCUGCAUGGUGGGGGUUGGAAAGUUUCGGCGGUUGGGGAUGGACUCGCGGCUUAUCAGCUUGUUGGUGGGGUAGUGGCUUACCAAGGCUUUGACGGGUAGCCGGCCUGAGAGGGUGACCGGCCACAUUGGGACUGAGAUACGGCCCAGACUCCUACGGGAGGCAGCAGUGGGGAAUAUUGCACAAUGGGCGGAAGCCUGAUGCAGCAACUCCGCGUGCGGGAUGACGGCCUUCGGGUUGUAAACCGCUUUCGCCUGUGACGAAGCGUGAGUGACGGUAAUGGGUAAAGAAGCACCGGCUAACUACGUG